Molecule: non-coding RNA, 310 nt
Organism: Pelobates cultripes (western spadefoot toad)
Lineage: Eukaryota; Metazoa; Chordata; Amphibia; Anura; Pelobatidae
Source: the annotation of a GenBank genome assembly
UUACACACAAUGCAUCCCUUACACACACAGAAACACUCAAUGCACCCCUUACACACACUCAAUGCAUCCCGUACAUACACAGAAACACACCUUGCAGCCCUUACACAUACAAACACAGAUUCACACAAUGCAUUCCUUACACACAUAUCAGGACAUCCCCUACACACUCCACCCCCUGUGAACAAACUCAUUAGUGGAACAUGAAGGUGGACCCUGGGACCCAGACCUUGAGCUGUGUAAAGGGCCCCCAAAAAAUGGAGCUGCUUCCCGUUCUCCCAGAACAUUGAUUUUUGUGACCACAGUUACAAAC